Molecule: unclassified non-coding RNA, 558 nt
Filed under: Cryptantha maritima
Lineage: Eukaryota; Viridiplantae; Streptophyta; Magnoliopsida; Boraginales; Boraginaceae
Description: partial external transcribed spacer
Source: RNAcentral
GGAUCUUUCGCGCCAAGCGGUGCUUUGUCGGCUCUCUCGUUGGCUUGGAUUGUUUCGUAGAGUGAUUUUCUCUCUACGGGGUAGUCUCUUGUUGACUUUGGGGCGGAUAAUGCGAUACGUGUAGGUGCAUGAGUGGUGUUUUGCUUGUGUUGGUUGGUUGGAUCCUUGCUCUGGCAACGACGUCCAUCCUCACAUGCAUUUUCAGUUGCGUCUUGAGAUACAUACUAUCUUGAGUUUGGUAUCGGUUUCUUGUGUUGCGUACCUAAUGAUGGCAAUCGGUAGUCUAAAUAUCAAAUUUUGCCUUUCAUUAUUCCUUUUGGGUGAUGUAGGGUGAACCACAAAGCAAUCUCUGUGUCCCACUCCACUCACUAAAUUGUGCUUGUGGAUUGGUCCAUAGGGUAUUUGCUUGAUCUCUUGGAUGCGGUGCAUUGUAUAUGGGCAUGAGGUCUCGCGUCCUCUUUUUGCCCAAACAAAAGCUUUCGAUGCUUAGUUGCGAACGAUUGCCAUCCUCGUUUCGAGCCUUUUGGCUAGUGCGGUGAUGGCUUCGUUGAGGAAUGC